This 200-nucleotide small nucleolar RNA is filed under the name Dasypus novemcinctus (nine-banded armadillo). The record is from RNAcentral. Lineage: Eukaryota; Metazoa; Chordata; Mammalia; Cingulata; Dasypodidae.
CUUGCACCUUCAAGGCUGAAAUUCCUCCACUGAUUCAAACCCUCCCUUAGGGUUGACCUUCUUCUAAAAAAGAGUCGCUGGCCUUGCCUCCAUUGCUGCUGCUGUCCCCAGUUCCCAGCAGCUGCCUGCAGGGAGGCCCACAGGUGGGAACCAAAGUAGGGCUAGGCACGGGCCAUCUGAGCGCAACCUUGAAUCUGACA